RNAcentral lists this ribosomal RNA (497 nucleotides) under uncultured bacterium. Its description in RNAcentral is "partial 16S ribosomal RNA". It matches the Rfam family "Bacterial small subunit ribosomal RNA", at positions 28 to 507 of the family's 1533-position model. The record is from RNAcentral.
GAUGAACGCUGGCGGCGUGCCUAAUACAUGCAAGUCGAGCGAACAGACGAGGAGCUUGCUCCUCUGACGUUAGCGGCGGACGGGUGAGUAACACGUGGAUAACCUACCUAUCAGACUGGGAUAACUUCGGGAAACCGGAGCUAAUACCGGAUAAUAUAUUGAACCGCAUGGUUCAAUAGUGAAAGACGGUUUUGCUGUCACUUAUAGCUGGAUCCGCGCCGCAUUAGCUAGUUGGUAAGGUAACGGCUUACCAAGGCAACGAUGCGUAGCCGACCUGAGAGGGGGAUCGGCCACACUGGAACUGAGACACGGUCCAGACUCCUACGGGAGGCAGCAGUAGGGAAUCUUCCGCAAUGGGCGAAAGCCUGACGGAGCAACGCCGCGUGAGUGAUGAAGGUCUUCGGAUCGUAAAACUCUGUUAUUAGGGAAGAACAAAUGUGUAAGUAACUAUGCACGUCUUGACGGUACCUAAUCAGAAAGCCACGGCUAACUACGUG